Molecule: ribosomal RNA, 253 nt
Filed under: uncultured bacterium
Lineage: Bacteria
Description: partial 16S ribosomal RNA
Rfam family: Bacterial small subunit ribosomal RNA
Source: RNAcentral
UACGUAGGGGGCAAGCGUUGUCCGGAAUCAUUGGGCGUAAAGCGCGUGUAGGCGGCCUUGUAAGUCCGUUCUGAAAGCCCGGGGCUCAACCCCGGGAGGCGGAUGGAUACUGCAAGGCUCGAGUCGGGAAGAGGCAAGUGGAAUUCCCGGUGUAGCGGUGAAAUGCGCAGAUAUCGGGAGGAACACCAAUGGCGAAGGCAGCUUGCUGGGACGGUACUGACGCUGAGACGCGAAAGCGUGGGGAGCAAACAGG